This 253-nucleotide ribosomal RNA is filed under the name uncultured bacterium. RNAcentral describes it as "partial 16S ribosomal RNA". It matches the Rfam family "Bacterial small subunit ribosomal RNA", at positions 524 to 776 of the family's 1533-position model. The record is from RNAcentral.
UACAGAGGGCGCGAGCGUUGUUCGGAAUUAUUGGGCGUAAAGGGCGCGUAGGCGGUGCGGUAAGUCACCUGUGAAAUCUCCUGGCUCAACUGGGAGCUUGCAGGCGAAACUGCCGUGCUGGAGUGUGGGAGAGGUGCGUGGAAUUCCUGGUGUAGCGGUGAAAUGCGUAGAUAUCAGGAGGAACACCUGUGGCGAAAGCGGCGCACUGGACCACAACUGACGCUGAGGAGCGAAAGCGUGGGGAGCGAACAGG